Molecule: ribosomal RNA, 502 nt
Filed under: uncultured archaeon
Lineage: Archaea
Description: bacterial SSU rRNA
Rfam family: Archaeal small subunit ribosomal RNA
Source: RNAcentral
AAACUGACCAAUGCGCGAAAGCGUGAGUCGGUCAAUCCGAGUGUAGACCCAUCGGUUUACUUUUGUCAAGUAUACAACGCUUGGCGAAUAAUGUGAGGGCAAGACUGGUGCCAGCCGCCGCGGUAAAACCAGCUCAUAGAGUGGCGAUCAUGAUUAUUUGGCUUAAAGUGUGCGUAGCAGGGAAUUCUAAGUCCUCUGUGAAAUGUCAGGUCUUAAGCUUGACACGUGCAGAGGAUACUGGAAUCCUUGGGACUGGGAUAGGUGUAAUGUACGGUUUGGGUAGGGGUGAAAUCCGAUAAUCCAAGCCGGACAACCGGUGGCGAAGGCGUUACACUGGAACAGGUCCGACUGUGAGGCACGAAAGCUAGGGUCGCGAGCCGGAUUAGAUACCCGGGUAGUCCUAUGCUGUAAACGAUGCUCACUAAGUGUUAGGUAAUGCAAGACAUUCUCUAGUGCCGAAGCGAAAGCGUUAAGUGAGCCGCCUGGAAGUACGUUCGCAAGA